Molecule: long non-coding RNA, 13263 nt
Organism: Equus caballus (horse)
Lineage: Eukaryota; Metazoa; Chordata; Mammalia; Perissodactyla; Equidae
Source: Ensembl
UUUUGAUCCAAAAUUUUACUGUUAAAAAUUUAUCUAAAGAAAUAAUUAAAAAAUGCUGAUAAAAUUUGCCCACAAGGAUGUUUAUCAUAAGAUAGUUCUAAUUUACAAAAACAAGAAACAUCCUAAAUAUCUAACUACAAGACAGUGGUCUUCACCGUUUCUCACCCGGAUUCCUGCGAUAGGUCUCUCCGUCCAGCCCACACCCCGUCUGAUCUCUGCCCCACGUCCUGCCAUAAAACAAAAGCUUGAACAAAUCACUCUCCAACUUUAAAUACUUUAGACCCUUUGAGUCAUGUACAUCCUCAGAAUCUGGCCCCUGACACUUCUUUAACACUUUCUCCCAAAACUCCCCAGGAACAUGCUGCAUUCCAGCCAUUUCAAACUAUUUAGUUCCUCAAGUGGCCCUUUCUUCCGUCCUCUCCUUGCUUUUGUUGUGCUGUUUCUACCGCGCAGAAAUCUCUUCUGCACUCCCCUGUUCACCUGAUACCCUUUGUCCCAUCAAGACUCGCCAAGGGAAAUCAGUCUGAGCUGCAGGUCCCCACUCUGUGCUCACAAGGUGCUUCUCUGUUCCAUGUUAGCACCCGUCUCGCCAUGGCAGCCUCCCCUUCGCCACACUCAGAGUUCUGGAGGAAGGCACUAAGUCUUUCACCGCGGGCAUUAGCUGUAUCUGUCUGCCCGGAGCCAUCCUUUCCGUCAGGGAAGUACCACCCCUUCAUCCCUGUGGUUCACACGGUGCCCUGUCUGCCUGCUGCUACAGGCUUGGGCAUGGGACCCAGGCAAGUCCUGGUGCCAUAUCCUCUUGACAGCAAUGACCAAUCAGAGCCCGGGCAUGGGAUUUGCCACAGUCUUGCCAUGGUGUUAAUACCCGGAUCCUGGAAAGAGAAGGUCCCUCAUAUUCUUUAGGAUUGAAUGGGAGACGACCCAAACCACCAACAGUCAUUUUUCCCAUCUCAUGUAGGGAGCAUGUCCAUGGAAUUGAGUCAAACUAACCCUAGAGAGGGAUACAUGGUCAUGAAUAUGGAAAUAGAGCCAAAUAACAGAAGUUAGCCCCUGGAUCUAGCAUAUAAAAAGCAAGCACAUUCUGCAUUUCCCAGUUACACAAGCCAGUAAACUCCCAUUUGGGGUUAAAGUAUUUGGGUUACAUUCUGAUACUUGCAACCAAGAAUCCUGACUAAAACUUAUUUGGAAUUUGUGUCCCCCCUGAAUCACAGUAACUGGCAUGUCGGAUUCAACAAAAACAUGUUAUGUGGAUGAACAAAUAACUCAGCAAAGGGUUACGAGGUGCCCUGUGUAAAGGGGGUCUCUUCUGCCCUCAGAACUGCUCAGUGUCUGCUGUUCAUCAACGGAGCACUCACGUCUUGCAUCUUGAUGUAGAGGCCACACCACCUGUGUCUACGUGGGGUUCCUCUUUAAACAAUAUUUUCCUAGUCAGCAAGCGCCUGAAAUGUCUAUUCAUCUGUAAACACUUGGAAAGACUCCAGGUCGUGUUCUUAUUUUGCUAGUUUAAGUGUUAAAUGAGCCUAAAGUUAGGAAAGCUCUCAUCAGCAAAGCCAUCACUCCUGGUCCAAUUCACCAAAGAUUUAGGAGCUCUCGUCCCACACUGGGCUGGGCAGAAGGAGCCUUGACUGACUGCGCUUGAGCCUGUGGUGGCGGGUGAAGGAGUCUGAGAAGCGGUUUUCCUCCCUUCAGGUCUUGUCUGGGUGAGUCCAAGAGUGUGGAGCUACUGAGAACUCUGCCUCAAGUGGAAGGAUGUAGGGCUUCCAACCUAUUAGUAGAUUCGUCCCCUUGCUUGGUUUUUGGAGAAUAAAAGCAGCGAAUGUGGAACACCCUUUCUGUCCUGCCAUACCCUGGGUGCUGGGAUACAACGACAAGAGAAGAACAAGCAUCAGAACAUGUGUGUGCAACCAAAGACCAUCGCAGCCCCAGACCAUCUGCGCAAGAAGAGCCUGGGCAAGUGCUGGUUGAAGAGGGACGUCUUGAAGGCACGUUUGCACAAAUCACUCUUAAUUGGAUGGUAGGUUUAUUUAGGAUGGUGCAUGUGUAGGGGAGUGAGGGUGAGAUGCUAUGGGACAGUUUCGGGCCCACCCAAAUGACUUGACACAAAGGCUGCCCAAAGAAAAGGAAGAGGGACCCUGGAAAUCCUCUUACUCUCCCUCAGAAGGUUCCCUCAGAAUCAGCACUGGCUCAGGCAUCUGCCCCACCUCCACCCUUCUGCCACCCCCUGGGAAGGUUCAGUGCCAUCCGCAGCGUGAGAGCUGACCUCCCCUGCUCUCCACGUUCCCUGACACACAAAUGCCCGUGCCUGGGAGCUCUAAACCUACAACCCAGCAAAGACAGACAUGAGGGCAGGUUGCAUUCUGCCCUCAUUAUCCAUUUUGGGUCUUUUUGUGUCACCUGAUGUGGGCUCGGCGAGCUGAGGAGUCGAAGGAAAGAUUUCUUGGACUCUCAAGUUCUGGUUAGUAGUGCUCUUUUAUUCAGAAAAUAGUAUGGGGACAGGACCCCUGGGCAGUGAAGAGCUGCAGCAUGGGGACAGGACCCGUGGGCAGGAAGAGCUGCAGGCAUGGGGAGAGGACCCACGGGCAGUGAGGGGCUGCAAUGGGUUGAGGGCAGGGCUAAAUUUAUAAGGCAUGGGUCUAUGAGUUAUUUCUUUACAAGACAAAGGCAAGAUCAUGUUAAAAAGUCCUUAAAAUUGUAUCAGCACAGCUGGGGUCUGGUUAUCAGGUGGUCCUAUAACUUUAGAUAAGAAUCAGAUUGGAUCAGGUCAGGACAUCCUAUAUGUCCCAGAGGAUGAUCAAUAUGUAGGCCAAGAUGCUUUGGGCUUCUCUCCCUUGGGCAGCCUUGAUCCACAUCAUCACCUAGUUCAAAAUUUUGUGUAACCUAUGAAUAUGUUUGUAUCACAUUCACUCCUAAGGUUAGACAUUUCUACAGUGGAUGUAACCUCAUUAUUGUGUUAUUUUUCCCAACCAAAGCUAACUUUCUUGUCAGGCUUACAAAGAGCCACAUCAGCCAUGCUAGAGUUAAGUCAGGAGAUCUGCAGACUGGCAGAACAGGGGACUCUGGAAGAACCAGGCGUGAGCAGAGCAGUGUGGAGUCCUGACUGGUCAUUAAUCCAGCUUUGGUCAAGAGAGAACACUGCUCCCAGAGGGUUGUGGAACAGCGCGCGUAUGUCACACCAUGCAGGUAGCAGUUUAUCUGUCCUAAGUAAACAUCUGACAACAAGCAGUUUGAAGUAUUUGAAAAUGAGAUUCUCCAAAAUAAGUCCUUCAUUUGAAUAAGCUGAAACGACACCCACAUCUAGCCACCGGUUUUACACAAACCGCUCCUGAACAGCUGAUGCGGGCAUGUGCACACCUGUGAUCCUGCGCCCUGAUCUCUCACAUCGCCAGGGUUCUCACGUGUGUUAGAUGUUUGAGUGUUCAAGGUCCUGGCAGGACUCUCUGUAGAGUAGAGCUGCUCUUGCUUCUGUUUGGGGCAACACUGAUCCCUAUAAUCUUGACUCCUCCCUUCCCACCUCCUCCAGACCUUGUAUGAUCAAUUGCCCCUGGUGUCCUAAAUCCUCAACCAACCUCUUCUUCUCUUCCCUCCCCCUCAGUCCAUAACAAUGCCUAAAUAGAAACUAUCCCCUUCCUCUGAAUUCUCCCACCGCUUACCAUCUCAUCCCUCUCCUCUUCAUAUACAACUUAUUUGAAAGAGUAUACUAUUUUUGCUAUUUAUAUAGCCUCAUUUCCAUUAAAUCUUCACCUCACUACAGUUUAUCUCCCAUCUUGCAUGAAGCAACAGAAACUGACUAACAUAAGCAAAAAACAAAAAAGUAUUUAGUUUUUCGACGUAUGGCAGAGAUCCAUCCUCACCUCCUUGGAGAGCCUAGAAAGUUAAAAACAACAUCUCCCAGACUCUCUUGCAGCUAUGGUCUGUAUGCAAACCAGGUUCUGCCAAUCAAUACAGUCAUAAAAGUGUUGGAAGACAAAUAUGGACAGAGGUAUCGUCCUGUUGCUGCUUCUGCUAACAAGUAAGCUCAUGAACACAUGAAUGUCAAAAAGCAGGUGAGGGACAAUGAUGGCCAGACUCAGUGCUAGUCAAUACCUUAUGGGUGUCCAGAAAGUUUCAAUGGUGACAGAGGGGGUGGCUUCCUGAUCCCCACCCCUGAUCUCUGAACAGCAUCUAUGAUGAUGAGCUCUGAACUUCACAGUGUCAGUGGUUGUCUCCUGAUUUGUGCUACUCUAGCAUUUCCAACCAUUUUUACAGCACCCAUUUCCUAUAUAAAAUCCUUCAGGUUUAAAAUACCUAGGGUGUUUUCUCUCUCCUUUACUGAGCCCUGACCCAUAGAGUUUGUGAAACUGCAAGUGAUCUUAGACAACAGACUCUCAACAAUAAGGACUUGGGGGUGGUUACCUGAUUCGGUUGGAUUUGAAAGCAGAGGUGACUCAGUUCCCACUGAAAAAUGAGAGCUGACAGUCUGUGGCUCAGUUGCAAAUACAGUUACUUAAAUUAUCACAUUUUUCAAGGACUUAAAUUAAAUGCCUACCGGAGGCAAGCCUCCUGGUGGGUGAGUAUUGUAGGAAUGGGGCAGACAAGGACGGUGGGGCAGGCUGAAUGCUUCUGAAGCCCUGAAAAGCUUUUCUUCAAGCUAUAAACUCAGGUCUUUACAUUUCUUUAAAUUCUAAACUCUAGGCAAAAUUAAAGGAUUGGGGAGUUUCUAUAACUGCCAUCAAUCUCUAAUCUCUUAAAACCAAUGGGAUGACAUGUCCAAAAGCUAGAUGCCAAGGCUGACCAUGUGAUUUUUGAGUUAGAAAUUAAAUUGAAUUCACAGCCUCCCCAGGUCUUUCAUGGUCAAGAUAGACCUUGAUUAGAAAAGAAUGCAACCCUGAGAACUGAGAUGAGAACGUUUGGGUAAACUCAGAUGAGUACGAGUCCGUGGAGUCUGCAAGAUCCACUAGGCUCACUUGCCAGAAGCAGUAGUCCUCUCCCAUCUGAUAAAGCUGGCUCUGCCUUGGGUGGACGCCUUGCAAGGGCCUUCCCUGAGGUAUCCACCUUCAAGAGGAUGCCCUGAGCCUCAUGUUCCACCAUAGCAGUUUUCAUUGUCUGUAGACCGAAUUAAAAAAGUCAAAUUCCAUUAUGUCUCAGGGAGACAAGCAAAGAGAGUUUACUAUUUAAAGAUUUGUAACUCCCUGCUUAUUGCUAUCUGUAGGAGCCCAGGGAGUAUGUGUGAUAAUGGAUUCAGGUGGGGGAAGGGCUAGACCAAUGAGAAGUAAGUAUCAACAUGUGUGCAUUGACCAGCUGCCCUGGUGGUCUAGUGGUUAAGAUUUGGCACUCUCACUGCCACAGCCCAGGUCCCUGUCCCCAUCGUGGAACCACACUGUCAGUUGUCACACUGAGGCAGCUGCGUGUUGCUGCGAUGCUGAAAGCUCUGCCACUGGUAUUUCAAAUACCAGCAGGGUCACCCAUGGUAGACAGGUUUCAGCGGAGCUUCCAGACUAAGAGAGACUAGGAAGGAGGACCUAGUCACUCGCUUCUGGAAAAAUUGGCCACAAAAACUCUAUGAAUAGCAGCAGAACAUUGUUCUAAUACAGCACCAGAGGGUGAGAGGAUGGCUCAGAAAGAUGGGUAGGGUUCUGCUCUGCUGUCCACAGGGUCACUGACUGCAUGGCAUUUACUAGAGCUUUUUAAUUCAGUGAUCUAAUUCAAGAGAAGCCUUCUGCUUGCCAAUUGAUAACUGAAAACUACACCUACUCCAAGCGAGAUUGAAAUGAAGAGAUUCCUUGAUAUAAUACAGAGGGGAAAAAACAGAGACUCGGGAGAUAAUAAUGUUGAAAUGGGAUUAUUAUGUAUAGCCUGUUCAUUCACCAUCUGUGUUUGCCAAGAGGCCUCAAGAAUGCUCCCUUCACUAAGACACAAAGACAUACAUCUGAGGCCGAAGCACCAUUAUCCUCUAAAACACUGUCGCUUCUGCCCUGUGUAGGAGAUGCUGCUAGUGAAAUGGGCUUUCUGAGUUCAGUGAUGACAGGAAUCUGGAGCGGCAGAGGCCACACAGUCGCAAUCCCUGGUUACCACAUGAGCAGCAGGAAUACAGUGAUAAUCAGAAUGGUGUGACCUGUAAGAAUGAGAUUAUUUAUCACGGGAUUCCUAGGAGUGAAGCAGAUGGGCAGCCGAAAAGUAAAGAAGAAAAAAAUCUGGAGAAUGAGGGGCUGAUUUGAGUUGCCUCAGCGGAAAGUCAGAUUCCCAGAAACUUUGCAUGUGAGCCCACUGAACAAAGAAGCCAGGUACCCAGGAGGAGGGCCCCGUGGCACUGUCCCAAGUGUGAACUGUAAGCUUCCUCUUUGUCUCCUUAAGGAAACUAAGGCCAUUUGCCAAAGUAAUGUGCACUGAGAAAACUUUACCCAGACUUUUGGGAUAUCCCUGGACACUGGUUCUUAGCUAGUAUUAAUCCUUAGGGACACAAAAGAUAUCUGAGAUCCACUACUACGAGUAAGAACUUAGGAGGAUUGAGUGACACAUGCUGUUUGGCCGGAACCCAUCUUGCAAAUAGGCCAAGAAAGUCCAUGAACCCAUUCUGUGGUUAUUUUCCCUUUCCAGAAGACAAAGUUGUAAUGACACUUGGCAAGCGGUGGGUUACUUUAUCAUGAAAGGAAGAGACAAGUGAAGUGAAGCAAACAGUGAAUCAAAAACAAUAUCACGCACGUCCCUGAGGGAAUUGCAUAUUAAUAUCACCAUCAAAGACUUGAGAGGGGACGAUAGUGGCAGCAUAAUUUUGGGUCUCAUCAAAUCCCCACACGAAAAUACACAUAAAAACUGACUUAAGAACAAAUAUGACCAAUAUUUCCAACAGAACUAGAUGGUAAGUUAUCCCCACAAACCCCGUAAUACCAGUGAGCGGGGAAGAACCCCAGCAGGAACGAGAGCUGCACGUCAUCUGUGUCUGUGCUGGAGAAAUCAGGGAAGACAGCAACGCAACUGCUGAACUGAAAAUCCCUCCAGAAGGCAACACACCCUGACCAACAGUGCAGCAGGCCAUCGGAGAAAACAGCGGAAACUCCACAAGUGCGUGAGUGUCGGGGCGAGGGGUAAGGCCUAACGGGCUGGAGCCGUCCAACCCCGCUGAACUCUUAAGACAGACCCGGCCAGGCUCCCUCCCAUGGCAGAACCCCACAGGAGAAACUGUGGGGAUAGAAAUAAACUUGAGCAGGACAGGAGCCACAGAGCAAAUGGAAAAGAAGUUCUCGAUCAAAGUGUGGGAGGGCCUAGAGCCAGAAAUCAGAAAACAAGCCGCCGUGUCCCUUAACAUUAUAUGAAAAUGACACAAGAGGCAGCUCUGAAAAGUUAGGAAAUCUGUCUGAAAUAAGCUCCUUUUAAAAGUUCAAGAAAACCAAAUUCACAUUAAAAUGAGCAGCAAACACAAAGUGUCAAGAUCAAAUCCCACAAAAGUUUACUAUUUAAAAAACAGGAAAAGGAGCAGUGGCAUCUCUCUACAGACAAUGAAGCAUGCCAGAAGGACACUCAGAGACAGACCAGACUGUAACACACUGUCUCAAAUGAUCUGGAGGAUAAUAUGAUAGACAGAAAAAUAGCAUAAAUCAGGAUGGGGAAAACUCAGGAGUGAGGUGACAGAACUCAAGGAAGAAUUACCAAUACAAGGAAAAAAAUUUUCUUAAUGAAGAUUACUAUAGGAGAAAGAUAGCAAAUAAAUACAAGUAAUGCCUUAAAAAUGAGGGUAAAAAUAAGGAAAAAAAUUUAAUUCAAAAAGAAAUGAGAAACAAUAAAAAAGUGACAAAUAUUGAAGAUAGGCAAAGAAAAUCCAGCGUAUAGAUAAUAGCAGUCUCUGAAGAAACCCAAAGCAGAUGGACAGACCAAAUACUAAAAUCUUUCCAGAAACAAAAAAAUAAAAGUAUUCAAAAUUACGUAUUGAAAGAGCAUAUUGUGUGUCUGAGAAAAGAUAUCUAAACUGGUUCUGCCAUUUGCAAAGUUAUUGUCUCUCUUUGAUGAUAAAUUAUCUCUGUUCUCAUUAUUGUCUCCUGACUGGACACUGAUACAGGAAUUGGUACCAAGUGGUCCCAGGAAACCUCAGAGACCUCAAAGACUGGAUUUGAGAACUGACUUGGUCAUGUCCUUGGUCUAGAGCAAAGAGUUGAACUCUCUGCCAGUGGACAAUGGGAAGCUAGGUAGUCCAUGGCAUGCAGUGGCAUUCACGAUUAAUGAAAUUAUCAUCUGGGGUUGAUUACGAUGAAGCAUCUACAGACGCACCAAGACAUAUCCUAGUAAGAUUACUGAGGUUUAAGAGAAAAAAAAAAAACUUUCAGGCAUCUAUGCAAAAAGCACCCAUGACUUAUAAGGAAAAAAUUACGUUAUCAUCAGAUUUUUCAACAACAGCAUUUCUUAUGCUAGAAGAAAAUGGAGUAACAUACCUAAGAAGCUCAAAGGAAGAAAAUGUGAACCAAGAAUUUUAUAUACAACAAAACUGACCUACAAGUAUACAAGGUGCAGACAAACUGUUAUCAACACGCGGGAACUCAAGCAAUACUGUUCCCAUGAGCCCUUCCGAAGAAAUCGACUAGAGCUGCGCUGACCAGUAUGGUAGCCACUAGCCAUAUGUGGUUGUUUAAAUUUUAAUUUUAAUGAAUUAAAUGAAGUAAAAUUAAAAAUUCAGUUCUUCAAUCAAACUAGCUACAUCUGACAUGCUCAAGAACUCAAUGUGCUAGUGGCUAUCACAUCGGAUAGUACAAAUAUAGAAUACUUUCUAUCAUCAUAGAAGAUUUUGUGGGAUAGCAUUGUCUUAGCCAAUGAGCUUCAGACAAUCCCAAUGACUGGAAAUCUCUGACAUAAAGACUGGGGAUGGGUAUUAAAUAUAUACUUAAUUGAAUAACUGAGGACAAAUGAGGACUAAAACGAAGAGAUUGUAGCAACAGCUGCAUAAUUUGACAAUCAAGAUAGAGUAAAACCAUUAAAAAUGGGGGAGAUGGAAAUAGCAUAUGUAAAAGAAAGGUAUUUUUAAAUUAUAUUUUCAGUAGUCAUAACUGAUGGUGUAGCAUUAGGAUUGCUAUUCUGAGGCUAUCGUAUGUGUAUGUGGGACAAAGCAAAUGAGUAACUAUGUAAUAUUCCGACUCCAUCACGUCUUGAGAGCCAGGAAUCUCAGUGUGGAAGAAAGGAGAUCCGGAUGUGUUACAGAGGAGGUUAAGUAAAAAAGCCUAUAGCCUGAAUUUAAAUUGGAAAUAUCUGUUUGAACUAGAAUCCAUGACAGACCCAGUAGGACCGAGCAUCCCUGGAGCCCAGAUUGUGGUUUGGAAUGCUGUUUCUCAUGAAAAGAAACCAGGGAUUUGGGGAGAAAUGGCUGGUUCCAGGUCUGGGGCAGGAUACGUACAAGAUGCGCCUGGAACAUCUUGACACACCGGGUAGCAAGGAAGCCAUCAAAGGUCACUGGUGUCACGUCAAAAAGAUUCAGGAGCCAACCUGGAGAGGGUCCUAUGAGCCAAAGAUGGGACAAUUUCAGCUUCUACCAAAACUGUAAUAAAUGGGAACUCGUCAAAUAUGUUUAAACCCAUAAGUUUAUAACAAUAUUAAAAGAAAAGGCAACCAAUUGGUCACUUUCUGAGGACCCAAUCCACUUCCUCGAGAACUAACUGAACUACAGAAUCAAGCAUUUGUCUUGCCUAUUCUAUAGGAACUGGCUAACCAUAACAGACAAGGGGAAGUGCCCCUUUAUAAAGUUACCCCAGCUAAUAUGGAAACAAAAUGAUGGCAUAUCACCAUGUGAAACCUCCAGUAAGUAAACGUGUCUAGACCUCGAACAUCACCAGCUGUUAAAAUCACAGAAAGAGUGGAAAUCAGACGGAUCGUGUCUUCUAAUGAAAGAACACAACGUCACCUAUAGUAUCGUCAAAGGAGCUGACCCUGAGUCCAAUCAGGCCUCUGGAUCCAGCUUCCAAUCCUCAAGGAACACAAGGGAAAGGGGCACCUUGAAACGCUCCGUGAGUAUGCAACCAAAAAAAUCCAGACUUCAGGAAACUCGACAGUUCAAACAGGCUGAGAUAAAUUAUAAGGAUAAAAGGGGGCAUGGGAAGCUUAGAUUAAAAGCAACUGGAAAACAUACACUUUAAAACGGGCCUGAUUAAACCGGAAUAUUUAAGGAUGCACACUUGGGUGAAAAAAGCAUAAAAAGUCAAGGCAGUGAUCACUAUAUAGCAGUCAGGAUAGCUGUUACUUUCGAAGGAGGAGAGGGUUGUGAUUGGCACAAGGCACAUGUAGAGGCUUCUGGGGCGACUGGCAAAGUUCUAUUUCUUGAGUCGUGUGUUGGUCAAGGAUGUUUACCUUAAAGUAAUUCACCAAGCUGUUAAAAAAAUAAAGUUUGAAAGAUGCUGGGGCGGUGAUUUCUAUCAUAGCCCCAUUUAAUUCAUCACUAUGGCCAUUGCAGAAGACAUAUGGGUUUUGGAGAAUGACAAUGGGUUCCCUUAAACUUAGUCACAGGCCAACACUUCAAUUGCAAUUGCUUUUUUUAAAUAUGUUCUCUUUACUCCAGCAAAUCAACAGAGACCCCAGCACGUGGUAUGCUGUUAUCCAUCUGAUAAAUGUUUUGUUCUCUCUCCCGAUAAGCAGAUAAUACCAGAAGAUUUUGCUUUCAUCUGGUGGGAAAGCAGCUCACCUGUGCUGUUUUCCCUCAGGGCUACAGCAGCUCUGGCUCUCUGUCAAAAUUUAGUCAACAAGACAUUGAUCGCCUCACCAUCCCACAGGACAUCGUGGAAGUUUAGUACCUUGAUGACGUCGUUUUCUUAAGACGUAGUAAAUAAGAAGCAGCCGCCAUAAUCCUAGACUUCUUGAUAUUGUGCAUGAAAGGGUGUGAGAUAAACCGCACAAAAAUUCAGGGCUCCGCCGACUGAGUACAGAGAGGCUUAGAAGGCCUUUCAGGGUUUUGGAGGCAACUCAUACCACAUUUGCAUAAACUACUGGACUUGUUUACCAAUAACACCGAAGGAGUAUCCACUUUGAUUACAUCCCAGAGCAAGUGACGAUUCUCCAGCUGGUCCAAGAUGCAGAGCAAGCAACCUGGUCAUUCGAUCUAGCAGAAUCGUGGUGCUCAAAGCGUGUAUGACUGAGGAGGAUAUUGGACAGACAGCUCCAGUAGCAGAAUCAGAAUACAAGCCUCUAGGGUUUGGAGCAAAGCCAUGCACUCUCCCACAAAUACGUAAUCUCUUUUUGAGAAACAGUUCCUGGCUGGUAGAGACUGAAUGCUUGGCCAUGAGAUACCAAGGGACCACGUGACCUGAGCUGUCCCUUAUCAGUUGUGUAUUAUCUAACCCACAAAGCCAAAAAAUUGGGCACGCCCAGCAACACUCCAAAAUCAAGCGGAAGUGUUAAAUAGGAGACCGUGCUCAAGCAGGUGGUAACGGCCGUGGUGAGCCACAUGGGCAGGCCAUGCUCGCUCCCAAUGCACUGACCCCAGAAGUACCGCCACCUCGUCUUCAGCUCAUCCUAAUAGCUUUGCUGGGGAGUUGCAGAUGAAAAGUGACUUGAGGAAGCAGAAAGAUCUGCAGAAGUAUGCACCAACUGAAAGUGGACCGCGGGAGCAUGUGCCCUACUUAGGAGUGACCCAGAAGGACAGUGAGGAAGGGUAAUUCUUUCAGAGGCAGAACCUCAAGCAGUACAUGUGGUUGUCCCCUUUGCCUGGAAGGAAACACAAGAGCUACAGAUCUGUAGUAAUUUGUGAAUAGUGCUGAAUGGCUUAGCUAGAGAGUCCUAGGCUUGUGAGGAAAAAGAUGGGAGGGUUGGUAACCAGGAUGAACGGGAAAGAGUUGUAAGGAUGGACCUCAUAGAGUGGCCCAGGGUGAGAAUAUUUGUGUCCUGUGUGAAUGCUCAUCAGACAGCACCCACUGCAGAGGAGCCUGCCCAUAACAGUGGGAAGGGUGAUCUGGCCUGUGAGCGUCAGUCAGCAUCUCUCCUCGCAAGGCCCGAGCUUGCUCAGUGUGUUCAUGGAUACGGUGUAGUGGCCAUAGCAGCAAAGAUGGCUGUUGGGUCCGGUUCAACAACAGAAAGAUUUUUCUCCUCGUCAUGUUGGAUCUGGAUGGCAUUGCUGCUGGGUGCUCACCCUUCAACAACAGAAACCCAAGCUUAGCCCCUAUGACACCAUACCCUGGGGAGAUCAGAUAGCCACCUGGAGGCAGAUUAAUUGGACCACUUCCAUAAUGGAGGGGGCAGCAAUUUGUCCUCACUGGGACAGAAAUUUGUCCCCGCUUGCAGGAAGGUGUCAUCCCCUCAGCUCCCCUAAGAGGAAUAAUCAGAUAGUGACGUACAGGGGAGAGACUAGAGAUGGGGAGAUCGAGUACAAAGUACCACAGAAACCAGAAGCUCCUCAGUCAGGUUACACCCUCCGUGUGCUCCCACAACCCCUGUAGUGACUGUGCUGCAGGACUUCUCAGGCUCUGUUAUAAUAAAACCCCACAGGAGCAGCCCAGGGUCUGUGCCGCCCCAUCUAAUCUCCAGAACGGAGCCCCGUGCCUGGGACAUCGUACAGCUCAGUAGAUACGUGUCAAAUGUUUGUUGAAUGUCUUCUACAUUUUAGUAUUUAUCAUAAUCCUUUAAAAAUAUUUUGGUCAAGGUAGAUGCUUAACAAACAUUUAUUAAGUGAAAAAAAUUAUGAUCAACUAGAUUAGAAGUCAGCAAACUACAGCCUGUGGGCCACAUCUCACUGGCCACCUGAUCUUGUGUGGCCCAUGAACGAAGAAUGGUUUUUACAUUCUUAAAAAUGUAAGAAAAGAAUAAUAUUUCAUGACACUGAAAAAUGCAAUAAAUCCAAAUUUCAGUGUCUAUAAAUAAAGUUUUAUUGGGACACAGCUCCAUUUACACGUUGCCUGCAGUGUUUUGCUUGACAACAGCAGAGUUGAGUAGUUGUGACAGAGAAUGCGUGGCUUGCAAAGCUAAGAAUAUUUACUCUCUGGCCCCUGCAGAAAAAGUGUGCCGAUCCCUGGAGCAGGUCUUCCAAAGCACAGAAGACAACGAUCUUUAAGACAAGAGCGCUGCCUCCUUCCUUUGCAGACCACCACCUCAUCACUUCAAUUUCCUCUAAAGAAAACAAACUGUUUUUCUCAUAUUUCAUGGCUUUGAGGUUUAUUCCAAGCCUUGCCAGUGGCCUCAGGCUCCUCGUUGCCUUAUUUGAAACAAGAGAUAUAGAGCAGCCGAGACAGAUGACGAUGUGGAGAGGGAAGGAGGCGAGACGGGGCCCACGCUCAGACUCCCUAAAUCCACGAGGGAAACUUCCUUCUGUUGGCACCAGUUCAAAAC